UGAGUUUGAUCCUGGCUCAGGAUGAACGCUAGCGGGAGGCCUAACACAUGCAAGCCGAGCGGUAGAGUCUCUUCGGAGACUUGAGAGCGGCGCACGGGUGCGGAACACGUGUGCAACCUGCCUUUAUCUGGGGGAUAGCCUUUCGAAAGGAAGAUUAAUACCCCAUAAUAUAUUGAAUGGCAUCAUUCGAUAUUGAAAACUCCGGUGGAUAGAGAUGGGCACGCGCAAGAUUAGAUAGUUGGUGAGGUAACGGCUCACCAAGUCUGCGAUCUUUAGGGGGCCUGAGAGGGUGAUCCCCCACACUGGUACUGAGACACGGACCAGACUCCUACGGGAGGCAGCAGUGAGGAAUAUUGGACAAUGGGUGAGAGCCUGAUCCAGCCAUCCCGCGUGAAGGACGACGGCCCUAUGGGUUGUAAACUUCUUUUGUAUAGGGAUAAACCUACUCUCGUGAGAGUAGCUGAAGGUACUAUACGAAUAAGCACCGGCUAACUCCGUGCCAGCAGCCGCGGUAAUACGGAGGGUGCAAGCGUUAUCCGGAUUUAUUGGGUUUAAAGGGUCCGUAGGCGGAUCUGUAAGUCAGUGGUGAAAUCUCACAGCUUAACUGUGAAACUGCCAUUGAUACUGCAGGUCUUGAGUGUUAUUGAAGUAGCUGGAAUAAGUAGUGUAGCGGUGAAAUGCAUAGAUAUUACUUAGAACACCAAUUGCGAAGGCAGGUUACUAAGCAACAACUGACGCUGAUGGACGAAAGCGUGGGGAGCGAACAGGAUUAGAUACCCUGGUAGUCCACGCCGUAAACGAUGCUAACUCGUUUUUGGGAUGUAAGUUUCAGAGACUAAGCGAAAGUGAUAAGUUAGCCACCUGGGGAGUACGAACGCAAGUUUGAAACUCAAAGGAAUUGACGGGGGCCCGCACAAGCGGUGGAUUAUGUGGUUUAAUUCGAUGAUACGCGAGGAACCUUACCAAGGCUUAAAUGGGAAAUGACAGGCUUAGAAAUAGGCUUUUCUUCGGACAUUUUUCAAGGUGCUGCAUGGUUGUCGUCAGCUCGUGCCGUGAGGUGUUAGGUUAAGUCCUGCAACGAGCGCAACCCCUGUCACUAGUUGCCAUCAUUAAGUUGGGGACUCUAGUGAGACUGCCUACGCAAGUAGAGAGGAAGGUGGGGAUGACGUCAAAUCAUCACGGCCCUUACGCCUUGGGCCACACACGUAAUACAAUGGCCGGUACAGAAGGCAGCUACACAGCGAUGUGAUGCAAAUCUCGAAAGCCGGUCUCAGUUCGGAUUGGAGUCUGCAACUCGACUCUAUGAAGCUGGAAUCGCUAGUAAUCGCGCAUCAGCCAUGGCGCGGUGAAUACGUUCCCGGGCCUUGUACACACCGCCCGUCAAGCCAUGGAAGUCUGGGGUACCUGAAGUCGGUGACCGUAAUAGGAGCUGCCUAGGGUAAAACAGGUAACUAGGGCUAAGUCGUAACAAGGUAACAAUCGUCGACC
RNAcentral lists this ribosomal RNA (1488 nucleotides) under Chryseobacterium sp. TFB. RNAcentral describes it as "bacterial SSU rRNA". It matches the Rfam family "Bacterial small subunit ribosomal RNA". Lineage: Bacteria; Pseudomonadati; Bacteroidota; Flavobacteriia; Flavobacteriales; Weeksellaceae. The record is from RNAcentral.